AACAGUUUGAAAAAUUCUUCAGAUAAAGAAGAAACUUAUAGUGCACACCUAACAGGAGGUACUACAGCAGGGGCCCUCAACUCACAGGUUUCUGCUGCUCGGAUUGGUCCAUCAAAUGGAGGAUGCGUGCUGAUUCCUGGUGAAUGGGUC
Molecule: long non-coding RNA, 150 nt
Organism: Mobula hypostoma (lesser devil ray)
Lineage: Eukaryota; Metazoa; Chordata; Chondrichthyes; Myliobatiformes; Myliobatidae
Exons: 3
Source: RefSeq, a predicted model, not a curated record